Molecule: ribosomal RNA, 485 nt
Filed under: uncultured bacterium
Lineage: Bacteria
Description: bacterial SSU rRNA
Rfam family: Bacterial small subunit ribosomal RNA
Source: RNAcentral
UAGCGGCAGGCCUAAUACAUGCAAGUCGAGCGCCCAGCAAGUGGGAGCGGCGGACGGGUGCGUAACACGUAUGCCAACCUACCCAUGACGAGGGGACUACCCCGUGGAAACGCGGAUCAAUACCUAUAGUAUUGUUGAUCGGCAUCGAUUGAUAAUUAAAGUUUUGAUACGGUCAUGGAUGGGCAUGCGUCCGAUUAGCUAGUUGGUAGGGUAAUGGCCUAUCAAGGCGACGAUCGGUAACUGGUCUGAGAGGAUGAUCAGUCACACUGGCACUGAGACACGGGCCAGACUCCUACGGGAGGCAGCAGUAGGGAAUAUUGGGCAAUGGGGGCAACCCUGACCCAGCCAUGCCGCGUGAAGGAAGAAGGCCCUCUGGGUUGUAAACUUCUUUUGUAUGGGGCUAAGAUGGUAUAAGAAUAUAUUAUUUGAAGGUACCAUAAGAAUAAGCCACGGCUAACUACGUGCCAGCAGCCGCGGUAAUACGU